This 7865-nucleotide long non-coding RNA is filed under the name Homo sapiens (human). RNAcentral describes it as "HSALNT0395004". The record is from RNAcentral. Lineage: Eukaryota; Metazoa; Chordata; Mammalia; Primates; Hominidae.
UGCCAUUUUGGGUAAAUCAGUAUUACACAAGCCUAUUAAUAUCAAACCUCCCCUUCCAUAGACUUGGAUGGGGAGGAGAUCUGUUCUGUGCACCGCAGGUCAGCCUGGGUGUUCGUUAACAGACAUUACUGGUUAUUCUCAUGUUUAUGCUUGUCUCCCUAGUCAUUUGCUCUGUUUUCUCCAGGGGUUUAAAUGCUGCUAUGCAGCCACUCACUCGACAAAUGAUUGAAAUAUAUAUAACUACAAAGAAAACCAUCACAAGACGCUUUGAUGGCAGUCAUCAACAGCCAGGCUGAGGCUGUUCUUGGAGUGGUGUAGAUCAGGAGUUCUGAAAACAACAACAACAACAACAACAACAAUAACAACAACAACAACAACGUAUGGUCAACUGAUGAGACUCAGAAUCUCUGUGGGCCAAGAAGUGAGACUUGUUUUGUAGCUCACCGUGAGAAGAUUUGAAAUGAAGAGUUCAAAGAACUGGUCUCUGAUGAAUGGCAUUGGGAUGGUGAGGUCUGGAAAAAGAUGGGAAAAAGGACUUCAGCUUUCAUCAAGAGCCCUUCUCUAACAAACACUAGAUGUAUUAUUUCGUGUAUUCAUUAUUCUGAUAAAACGUGAAAAAUCAUAUGAAAAUAGAGUAUAAAUAAUUCUAUUAAUCUGAAACAAUUUAGUUCUUUAGAAUGUGUCUUAAUAUAUUAUUCUUCAGUAUAGUAUUGUUUUACAUAUACAAAAACUACUGAAUUAUCAUAGUAAAACAUACAAACAAUUUUGAUACAGUAAAUGUUUCUCUUAACUUUGAUCAAACUUUAUUUGCCACUCUGGUAAUAUUCUCUAGUUGGUCCUAUGAGACCAUUAUCUAUACUCUUAAAUUAUACAUAUAGGUACCUAGAGCAGCUUGUUUGAUUUUAUUUGUGUAUAUAACUUUAACAUAAAUAGACCCCUCUAAAUAUCAAUAUGGAAUUCUUUUUUAACUUGUUGAUAUAUUUCAGUGAGAGUUUAAUUUCAGUAUGCAUAGAUUUGCCUUAUGGUACAUUUCUUUUUGUGCUCUUUAUUUUUUUCAUAUUUAGGAGAAGAAUUUCUAGACAAUAGGAUAUAGGCACUUUGAACUUUAUACUCUUUCACAGACUAUAUGAAAAUGCAUGUUUUCCCAAAUCUUCACCUAUAAAGGGUGAAAUACAAUGUAUCACAAUACUAUGUCAAUAUAUUAUUGCUCUAUUGUGGUUUGAUUUUAAAUUCCUUGAUUCAUAUUCUGUUACAUUAUUUGAUUUACUUUUCAUUUUGCUGGAGUACUUAAGUUACUUUUAAGCAAAUGCAUGGUGAUGGAAUAAAUGUUUUGACUACUUAAAUGUCUGAAGUCUAUGAUAACAAAUUUUUAAUUUUAGAUGAAAUGAAGAAAUUUCAAGAAAACUGCAACUUACUAAAACUGACACAAGAAGAAAGUCUAAAAUUUUUCAUAUUUAUGUAAUUGAAUCUGUUACAAAUGAAAGGAAGGAUUUCUUUAUAUAUUCUGGAUAGUAAUCACUUUUUAUAAUACAUGUUUGAAAUACCUUUCACCCACUUGUCACUUGACUUUUAAUACCCUCUAUGGUGCUCUCUGACACAUAGAAGUUUUAAAAAUGUAAGUAGAAUGUCCAAGAUAUUACUAGUGUUUCCUGAUGUGCCUUGUUCAUCUUACCUUUUGGGAAAACAGAAGGUUGCUUGGUCUGUUUCCUGUUAAUUUAGGCAUGGCCAUGUGACUGUCUUUGCCCAGUGACAUGUCACUUCCAGGGGAAAUCAUUUGAGUCAGUUUACAAUUCUCCAUGUCGUUCUUUCCCUAGAGCAUUGACCAAGGUGGUGUAUAUUCUAAAUGGUACAGCUAUUCAAUAGCGGAGGAAUAGAAAAAAAUAGCAAACAAAUGAUAAGAAUGUAGAUUUAAACCCUGUUAUUGAUGAAAUACUUAAACACAUUAAAAAACAGUGCCACUGGAUAAAAAAGAAAGUCUUACUAUUAUAAUAUAUGCUGCUUCCUAGAGAUAUGUCUUAAAUAUAAGAAACCAGAAGGUUAAAAAUAAAAGUAUGGAAAAGCAUGUUCAGAAAAACCUAAUAAAACAAAUCUACCUUGAAUAUGCCAAUAUUAGAUUAAGUCUAUUUUAAGGAAAGAAGCAUUACUAGAGAUAAAAAAUUCAUCAUAAUUAAAGGGUCAAACAACUAGGGAGACUUAACAAUUCUUAAUUAAAAUGAAAACCUAAUUGCAUAGCUCAAAUAAUAUACAUAUAUAAAGAAAAGCACAUAAAGCCAAAAUUGAUACAAAUAAAAAUAUACAGAUCUACACUUGUCUCAGAAAGUGAUACAACAAACAGAUGCAAUAUUGGUAAGGACAUAGAAGAGCUCAACGCUUUGUUCCACAGCAUGAUUGAUAUGUAUAAAAUACUGCACCCAUCAAUUCAGUGAUGUACUCCUUUUAAGUACUCACAGAUUAUUUAACUAAAUUGCUCAUGUUUAGGGCUACAAAGCAAGUCAACAGAUUGCAAGCAAUUAAAAGCUUGCAGAGUAUGUCUAUUGACCAUAGCUCAAAUAAACUAGACAUAAAAACAAAAUGCUAGAUAGACAGUACCCAAAUGUUUUAAAAUUAAACAACUUACCCUUAAAUAACCCAAGAAAUGGAAUCUGUUAUAAAUGAAAAGAGAAGGAGUGUCUAGAAGUCAGUAGAUUUUAAUAGUUAAGGAAGCUUGAGACCUAAAAGAACAAGUGUUUCUUUCACAAAUGGAUGUGAAUUGCACUACGGAGUAGGAGAGACUCCAGUACCACCUCUGGAACUUGAGGGCUCCGAGGUGUAAAAAUGAAUAUUCUUUACUACAGAGAGCAGCAGAGAACCUGUACUAUCAGAGGAGAGUUCUAUUUCAAUUGGGAGAGAAAAUUAGAGGCACAUAUUGGUGAAGAAGCUUAGGAUUUUUUGAAAUACCUGAAAUUCAGAAACAUAAUUAUGAAUACACAUAUUACUAGAAAAUUUCAAUGCAGGUUAAAGGUAGUGACAGGCAAAUGCUGUGUUUAAAUAAAAAAUUGAUCUUACUCUUUUGGUAUUUAUUUUGAUGACUUUAAAAUUGCCAGAGGGUUCAACAGACAUCCCUAAUCAUUUCCAUCCAACUUCUAGCUAUUCCCAAAGCCUUAUCCACCCAGAAAUACAAUCAUUAAGGUUUACUGGGCUGAAGUGUGGGAGGGAAUGUAAGUGUCUGCUGUAUACAUUUAUGAGGUAAUGAAUUUUUUUAAAAGAUUAAAAGUUUAAGGUUUUUUUGUUUAGAUUGUUUGAAAACAUCCACUCUCCUAAUGUAAGUACCUCUGUGGAUAUAGCCAUAUCAAAAUAGUUAUGACAAAAUUUCAGGUAUUUCUAUUGGAAUAUAGGACAGUGGACAGGGAAGAGUUAAAUCAGCUGGCCUACUCUAUUUAUUCACACUAUUCAUGUCCUAUCGUGGGGAUGGUGUUGGGGUAUAGACCUGGGGGAACUAAAAGCAGACAGGCAACCCGGGUAACUUUGUCAGUAUGCUAACCAGACUUUCUAGUAAAUAGAUUAAUAAUAUUUGCUAGAACAUCCUUAUCUAUGGGAUCUUCUUAACAAGAUAUCUCUGUUUAAGGAUUGCCAGUAUGUCACAUAAACUGGGAUAUAAAAUGGACGUGUUUCAUAAAUGGAACAUCCUCACCGUGAGGAAUAAUCUUUAAAUAACUUUAUUACUGUGGGCCGCAGAGCACUUGUCUGAUGUCAAAAAGGAAGAUGUGGGAACCAUUCUCAAAACUCCAGGCCUCUAUUUAUUUCCAUUUGAGCCUCUUGAUUGCCUAUAUCUUUAACUUGAUUAGUAAAAUCUGUUAAUGGGCAAGAUCCUUGAUUCAUUUGAGUUUGAAAUGAUAAUGUGUUCCUUUAUGUUUUCUCAGGCAUCUCUGUGAGUCUGUGGUUUCAGAAAAGACUUUUUGUAAGAGCUAAGUCUGAAAGCCUUAGCUCAGUUUGCUUAGUCAAGAAGGGUGCAGCUGGAUAAAAAGAACAUGAACAAAAUUUUUAAAAAAGCCCAAAUAAUGGAACAACAAAAAAACUGUGAAGGAUAGUGUCAUUGGGAGUGACAAGAGGACAACUUCUAGAAUUAUUGCUGCAAAGAUCCGGUUAUCCUCACAGGGAGUGAGUGAAAAAAAGUGGGAAGAAACUAACUUAAUUCUAAGAAAUGAGAGGAUUACAGAUCCCAGAAGAUAAUCAAGUGCUUCAAGACAGUUGAUUAAGCCAAAUUAUAUGUGGUAGAGAAAGAUUUGUGGAGCAGUUUCAGAAUAUAUACACAUGUCUGUCUGUUGAAUGUAUUCCUUCCUCUUACAGGAAGGAAUUCCUUCCAGGGUCAUUGUAUGUGAUAAAGAUCACUUGUAAAUGAAAACUUUGGAGGUUACAGAAGAAGUAAAUGUCAGAAAUGAAGGAAAAUAAUAGCAGGUAAAGGAAAGAAAGGGAGGAAUCGCAGAAAUGAGAAAAACUGAAAAGGGAAGAAAGCAGAGACCACUAAUUAGAAGUCGAGCAUCUUGGAGGAUGAAAUUAUGCCAUAAUUUUCUUCCCUUGUAAGUGAUAUAUAUAUAUAUAUGUUGGAUUGAAUUUUGUCUAUUUUAUCUUCCUUAAGGUUUGUAUGACAAGUGAGGGAUCAAAAGAAGGGAGAAAGGAAGGACAGGCAGUUUGAAAGAUGAAUAAGAUUUGAAAACUCAAGAGGAAAUUGAGGGGAGUUUUUUUGUGAUGACAGGAUACUAUUCUAGUAAGGUUUAUAUGGCAAAGGAAGUUGAUUAGUAGUUCCAUGGUGAUGAAUAUUGCAGUGAACAUUUGCAACUGGACUGCUUGACACUCAGUCUAGAAGGGAGAAGUGGAGACCAUCUUUCUUUCCAGCCCCUGGCGGCACAUGGCCCAUGGACAGUGAAUGAGAUGCUCUGAAAGUGCAGAGGUCCCUUUAGGGUUAUUAGAAACAAGUAUGUUGGAGAAGCAAGUCCAGUGGCUUGGAGGUGAGUGUUCAGGCAGAGCAGCUGCAGUCGGAUGCUGAACAGACCAUUCCUCUGUCAGGAAAAGUAGCUAAGCAUCUUCUCCCUCAAUUAUUAUUGAGCCUAUUCUGCUAGGUUUUCAAUUAGUUUUGGGAGGUGACCCUUUACAAUAAACUCCUUUACUGCUUAAGUUAAUCUGAGUCAGUAUAUAACCAACAAAUACUCCUGGUGACUAUAAAUCAAAUAAAAUUAAUUUUUCCAAAAUACUUAAUUUUAUAACCUCAAAUUUUAACAUCCCUUUCUUAAUUUGUCAAGUCUGGGAAACAUUUGACAUGAGAGCAAGUGAAAAUAUCUCAGGUUUUAUAGUCAGGACACUUAGCUCUUUAGCCACUAUCUUUGUCAUCUUGGGCAAAUUACUUAGCCUCCGCCCUUAAUGAGUUUCCGCUUCUCUCAUGUGUCAUAUAGCAUCUUGGCUGCAGCUGAGAUGUUUCUGGAGCAUACGUUUUCCUUGGGGGGUCCUUUUCCGUUCAUUCAUAUGCCGGAGGGCAUUUGAAGAGAACAUUUCCUUGGUGUGUUAGGAAUGCAGGCAAGGAAAAUAAGAGGGAGAGACAGCAGAGUGUCUGUCUUCUUUGGGAUCUCUUCAACUGGGCUAAGCUUCUGUUUUCACAGGAACAACUAAAAAAGAGUUCAGGGACUAAUUCUCAUGGAAAGUCUUGAGACUGAACCAGUAUAGUGUUUCUAAAAGACCCCAGAAAUAAAGUGGAGUGAGAGCUAAAGAAAGAGUCUUAUCUUCUAUUUCUACAUGUUGUCCAGGGUCGUUUUUGAUGUCUUGAGGGGAUCCUAUCAGCAGGAGAUACAGAGAGACUCCUACUGACAUCAGCCUUCAUGCACACAUAUGAAAGGAGAAACCAUGUAGCUGAUCCAGCCUGGAGACCAUCGAUGACAGCCUGGAUGAUGGACACAGGUGAGGGGACUCCAUCAAAGAACAGACAAGACUUUGUUGUAGAAAAACAACAACAACAAAAAAAGAGGCUGACAUCCUAUAAUAAAUUUGUGUUUGGCAGAAUCCUAAGGUGGCCCCAAGAUUCCCACCUCUAGGUGUACAUAUUUUGUAUACUCGCUCACCCUCUGUCUUGAGUGUAGGCAGAACUUGUGAAUAUGAAGGAAUGUCACUCCGUGACAUCUUAGGUUAGAUGACAAAGGUUAUCCCCUCAGGGGAUCUUGAUUAUAGCUGCAAAAUCCCCUUUGUCAUCCCCUUUAAAUUAAUCAAAAGGGAAUAUGAGAGUGGUCUGCAGAUAACAAGUAGCAAGAAAAUGAAGACUUCGGUCCUGCAGCUGCAAGGAAACAAAUUCUGCCGACAAACGCGAGAAACUUUGCAGUGAAUCUUUUCCUGGUCAAGCAUCCAGGUUGAGAACUCAGCUCAGCCAAGACCUUGAUUUCAGACUUGUGAGAGCUUGCAUGGAGAACUCAGUGACUGUCUGUAGUUUAGGAGUUAAUUUUCUCACUCUGUGUAUUAACUGAGUCUGCUUGUAAUUUAUUGUUUCUGACUUUUUUAAAAAACUGUAAAUAUUCAUUGACUUUCUAACGGAUUGCCUUUGAUUGAUCGAUUGGUGAUGGAUGCUAAUGGAAUCUGUGACCCAUUCUUUACAAAUUACAGAUUUCAGAAAAGGAGAGAAGCCAAAAACGUUCACUUGAGAGUGUCAUUUGAAGAGGUAAGCCUCCUCAAUUGACAUAUGUGCCCAAACAUUUAGCUGCAUUAUUUUCUGAAGAGCCAGCAGACCAUUCUGGUGACACACUCUUUGCCUUAUUGUUUGCUACAUAAAAACCUGAAUGGAACUAAAUUAUAAACUAGGGCUAUAGAAUAAAUGCAGCAAUGAUGGCUUGAAUGGCUAAAACCUGAGAUGUCACUCUCAAUGAAAGGCAGUGUUUAUUCCACAGCUCAGAGUCACCAAUAGCAUGAGAUACUAAGAAAAUGAAAUAAACCCUAAGUUAGUAAAUUACAAGAAGUCAUUCUCAAAGUCCAUGUCUUGUCUGUCCUUUUGAUCAUAAGGUCAUUAUGAGAUACAAAUACUAACAUAUUUAAAAUUUAAUAAAAAAGAUUUUAAAAUGUAGUUCUCAAGAGUGGUCAGCAACCUUAAAAUUGGGGGCUGCAAACACAUUCCACUGGCAAAGGAUUAUGCAAGAUAAAUUGUUGAACUUUAAAAGACUAAUAAAUUAUAUUGCAGUUAAUUUUAUUAUCUUUUAAUCAACAAUGAAGUGGAUGCACUAUGUUUAAGUUUUUCAAGGAUUUUGAAUAGAAAAUUGUGUUUUCUGGUCAACUCCCAUCACCAAUAUUCUGGACACGAAAUUUGUUCCAUAUAAGAAAGUAGAAGAGAUGGUUCUGCUGUGCAGACACCUUAAAAAAUCCAGAAAUGUGGCAGAGGUGGUGGCCACCACUUGCUCCUCUUUUCUCGAUUUUCUGAGCUGGACUUUUAUUGAAGGAUAUAGGGAAAUUUGAAAAGAAAAUACUGCUUCUAAUCCUGCAGUCAUCUUCUGCUUUGGCUCUUGAGGGUUCGUUAUUCUGGAAGCUGGAAUGACAUUCAGUAGUGUACUCUGAAAAAUGGGAGGAGUUAAUGCGGUUUUUUAAGGUAUGAUUAUGGUCUCCACUUUCCUGUCUAAUUUUCUGUAGGGUAAUUCAACCUGUAUUUCCCCAUCUCUUAAUGAGAAUGAAUAGCUACACAGUCUGUUUCAGGGGCUUUAAUUGUUUCCUAGACAUUGCGGAUCUUUUCUAAUAGUGCUUGUGAUGCUUGAGACAAAGUCCCCAUUCUUGAAUGGUUUCUGCCAAUCCGACUUUGUGAAUAAACUCUAAUGACAAUAUUUUUGAGAAAACCAUCGUAAGAAUGCCAUCAAUGUCUUGGAAGUGAA